This 1176-nucleotide long non-coding RNA is filed under the name Capsicum annuum. RNAcentral describes it as "long non-coding RNA (CANN_LNC020119)". Lineage: Eukaryota; Viridiplantae; Streptophyta; Magnoliopsida; Solanales; Solanaceae. The record is from RNAcentral.
AAAAAUUCACUACAGUUAUGAGUUAUGUCGGUUUACACAUGCUGAGCAACAUAAGUUUACUGCAUGUCAGUUCUUGUGUUUUUUUAUUAUAACUUUUUUAUGAUAUAAAAAUAAUUUAUAUCAAUAUUUGGUAAAUAAAUGUAAGUUAAAAUUUUGGGAAAAAGUUCCUAACAUUAAUACUACUCCUAAUUGAAAAGUAAAAUUAAAGACAAAAGCAACUAAAAUUAGUAAACUACCUAAAAUAAAUAAAUCAUAAUCCCUAUGUGUCAAGGAAAAUUAAAUUGAUUUAUAACUCAAUAUUUAUAAUAUUUAAUUUUUUUAACCGCAUCCCUGCACCCGUAUCCACACACAGAUUCGCACCCCCGAAUCUUAAAAUUUAUAUUUUGACGAAUCUGACUCUCAGAUCCCCACCCGUCUUAGAUACCCGUACCCGAGUCCGCGCAACUUAAGUGAAAACCUUGGAGAUCAGGGUUCAAAUAUAACAGAGACAAAAUAACACUAGGUGAUUUCUUCCUAUCUUCUGAUCGGUACCUGUUCUGGUGGGAGGUAGCUAGUACCGGUGGAAUAAUCGACAUGCAAGCAAGCUCGAAGGACACAACCAUUAUUUCUUUUAAAAAAAGAACGUACAAAAAGGGAAAAAAAAAUGUUUCACGGAUCAAAUAGUUGGUAUGCCACACUCCAGACACUUUCUUCCUAGAAACCAUCCAUCUAAGAGGAUCAAUUUGUUGAUGCAUUCAAGGUUGAAUUUUAUUUAAAAGGAAAACGAGAAAGUAAGGUGAUUAAUAAAUUCCGACUCUUGGAAUUUGUGACAGCAGAACCUACAAUUUAUACUUUAUAGAAUACUGUCAAAUGUCAUAAAACAUUAAAGAGAAGUUCCACAUUAAAAAAGUUGAAUCAGGGAAGCAUCGCUAUUAACAUAUUUGCCAUGGGAAAUGGAAUCACAAUCUUGCUGGAAUUAUUUCCAAAGAAUGAAAUUUCAAAUGCAAGUCACAAAAACUUAUAUAAUUAAAUACCAAUAACUCUUGUCAGUUGAUCCUGAACAGCACUUAAUUCAUCUCUCUGGCCAGUUCAUUUUAUAGUAAUUUUGUUUUGGGACAAUGGCAUGCAUACAAGUUCAUUGUAUAGUAACAACACUACAGAACGCUAGAAGAGAAACUUACCUGACUAGAUAGGUCU